Molecule: ribosomal RNA, 253 nt
Filed under: uncultured bacterium
Lineage: Bacteria
Description: partial 16S ribosomal RNA
Rfam family: Bacterial small subunit ribosomal RNA
Source: RNAcentral
UACGUAGGGUGCAAGCGUUAUCCGGAAUUACUGGGCGUAAAGGAUGCGUAGGCGGACAUUUAAGUCAGAUGUGAAAUACCCGAGCUUAACUUGGGUGCUGCAUUUGAAACUGGGUGUCUAGAGUGCAGGAGAGGUAAGUGGAAUUCCUAGUGUAGCGGUGAAAUGCGUAGAGAUUAGGAAGAACACCAGUGGCGAAGGCGACUUACUGGACUGUAACUGACGCUGAGGCAUGAAAGCGUGGGGAGCAAACAGG